Molecule: long non-coding RNA, 933 nt
Filed under: Sus scrofa (pig)
Lineage: Eukaryota; Metazoa; Chordata; Mammalia; Artiodactyla; Suidae
Description: lncRNA (ENSSSCG00070004518.1)
Source: RNAcentral
GGGACGGGCAUUAGAGGUCCCGCCAUGGCCCGGCGGUCAGCCUCGCUGUGCCCAAGGCUCGCGACCCACAUCGACCGGCCGGCCGGCCGGGAGAACCAGCAUCCGGAACUGGUGCCCGAGGCGUGGCUCUGUGCUGAGUAGGCACGCGGGGCACCAGCUGCCUCGGUCCGGCGGCUCCGCGCUCUGCCCUGCUGUGGGCCUGGUGGCAGAACUCAUAAAUCACCCAUUUGCUGAAUCAGUGAUUUGACUUUUGUGGGCCUCCUGUGCACCAGGCAGUGGCUAGACAAGAGAGGUGCCCAGGUGAGACAUGGCCCUGUGUGGCCCAGGAGCCGCUUCCCCACCUGAGCAAUGGAACUGGCAGCAGCCGACUGUCCUGGCAGUGCUGCACAUACAUGCCUUUAUCUGCAGGCCACCUCCUCCUGGCGUCUCCUCAGCUUUCCAAUUCUUGUUCUUGACUUCAGAAAGAACUUUGGUGAGGUGAUGGGCCUGCCUCCGAGUACCAGGAGUACCAGGUUCUGACUGAUGAUGGCAAUGAACUGUCCAUCUCGAGUCACCUCGCACUCAUCAGCUGUUCACCAUGACAUGGUGCUGUGCCACUCUGGCCUUGGCAGAUGGAAGAGACAUGCCCGCCCCGGAGUCAACCUGUGCAGUUUGGGUGAGGAGGCAGUCCUAGACUCCCACCCCUGCCUCAGAAGCAGCUCCUCUGCUCACGAGCCAAAGCCGCCCGGAAGUCCCUUCCCGGGGUCAGUGCCGCUUGGGUGUCGGAUGCCCACCUGCCCAAGCUUGGCGGUCUCCACAUGUAAGUUCAGUGGCAGAAAUGUCUUUCUGCGGGGCCUGAAAGAGCUUUAUAGUUUUCUGUUAGCAAACAAUGUGAGAGUGUCGCACAUUUUGUCGGUAACAUUUGGAAUGUUUACUUUCAUGACGGGAUUUUAG